RNAcentral lists this ribosomal RNA (1371 nucleotides) under uncultured bacterium. RNAcentral describes it as "bacterial SSU rRNA". It matches the Rfam family "Bacterial small subunit ribosomal RNA", at positions 28 to 1381 of the family's 1533-position model. The record is from RNAcentral.
GAUGAACGCUGGCGGCGUGCCUAAUACAUGCAAGUCGAGCGAACGGACGAGAAGCUUGCUUCUCUGAUGUUAGCGGCGGACGGGUGAGUAACACGUGGAUAACCUACCUAUAAGACUGGGAUAACUUCGGGAAACCGGAGCUAAUACCGGAUAAUAUUUUGAACCGCAUGGUUCAAAAGUGAAAGACGGCCUUGCUGUCACUUAUAGAUGGAUCCGCGCUGCAUUAGCUAGUUGGUAAGGUAACGGCUUACCAAGGCAACGAUGCAUAGCCGACCUGAGAGGGUGAUCGGCCACACUGGAACUGAGACACGGUCCAGACUCCUACGGGAGGCAGCAGUAGGGAAUCUUCCGCAAUGGGCGAAAGCCUGACGGAGCAACGCCGCGUGAGUGAUGAAGGUCUUCGGAUCGUAAAACUCUGUUAUUAGGGAAGAACAUAUGUGUAAGUAACUGUGCACAUCUUGACGGUACCUAAUCAGAAAGCCACGGCUAACUACGUGCCAGCAGCCGCGGUAAUACGUAGGUGGCAAGCGUUAUCCGGAAUUAUUGGGCGUAAGCGCGCGUAGGCGGUUUUUUAAGUCUGAUGUGAAAGCCCACGGCUCAACCGUGGAGGGUCAUUGGAAACUGGAAAACUUGAGUGCAGAAGAGGAAAGUGGAAUUCCAUGUGUAGCGGUGAAAUGCGCAGAGAUAUGGAGGAACACCAGUGGCGAAGGCGACUUUCUGGUCUGUAACUGACGCUGAUGUGCGAAAGCGUGGGGAUCAAACAGGAUUAGAUACCCUGGUAGUCCACGCCGUAAACGAUGAGUGCUAAGUGUUAGGGGGUUUCCGCCCCUUAGUGCUGCAGCUAACGCAUUAAGCACUCCGCCUGGGGAGUACGACCGCAAGGUUGAAACUCAAAGGAAUUGACGGGGACCCGCACAAGCGGUGGAGCAUGUGGUUUAAUUCGAAGCAACGCGAAGAACCUUACCAAAUCUUGACAUCCUUUGACAACUCUAGAGAUAGAGCUUUCCCCUUCGGGGGACAAAGUGACAGGUGGUGCAUGGUUGUCGUCAGCUCGUGUCGUGAGAUGUUGGGUUAAGUCCCGCAACGAGCGCAACCCUUAAGCUUAGUUGCCAUCAUUAAGUUGGGCACUCUAAGUUGACUGCCGGUGACAAACCGGAGGAAGGUGGGGAUGACGUCAAAUCAUCAUGCCCCUUAUGAUUUGGGCUACACACGUGCUACAAUGGACAAUACAAAGGGCAGCGAAACCGCGAGGUCAAGCAAAUCCCAUAAAGUUGUUCUCAGUUCGGAUUGUAGUCUGCAACUCGACUACAUGAAGCUGGAAUCGCUAGUAAUCGUAGAUCAGCAUGCUACGGUGAAUACGUUCCCGGGUCU